UGAACUCCACCCUUGAAUAAAUUACCUUUGUUGCUUUGGCGGGCCGCCUCGCGCCAGCGGCUUCGGCUGUUGAGUGCCCGCCAGAGGACCACAACUCUUGUUUUUAGUGAUGUCUGAGUACUAUAUAAUAGUUAAAACUUUCAACAACGGAUCUCUUGGUUCUGGCAUCGAUGAAGAACGCAGCGAAAUGCGAUAAGUAAUGUGAAUUGCAGAAUUCAGUGAAUCAUCGAAUCUUUGAACGCACAUUGCGCCCUCUGGUAUUCCGGGGGGCAUGCCUGUUCGAGCGUCAUUAUAACCACUCAAGCUCUCGCUUGGUAUUGGGGUUCGCGGUUCCGCGGCCCCUAAAAUCAGUGGCGGUGCCUGUCGGCUCUACGCGUAGUAAUACUCCUCGCGUCUGGGUCCGGUAGGUCUACUUGCCAGCAACCCCCAAUUUUUACAGGUUGACCUCGGAUCAGGUAGGGAUACCCGCUGAACUUAAGCAUAUC
RNAcentral lists this ribosomal RNA (485 nucleotides) under Cadophora malorum. RNAcentral's name for it is "eukaryotic LSU rRNA". The stretch from base 136 to 289 matches the Rfam family "5.8S ribosomal RNA". Lineage: Eukaryota; Fungi; Ascomycota; Leotiomycetes; Helotiales; Ploettnerulaceae. The record is from RNAcentral.